Non-coding RNA from Mycena leptocephala, 95 nucleotides. The record is from the annotation of a GenBank genome assembly. NCBI's taxonomy places the organism in Eukaryota, Fungi, Basidiomycota, Agaricomycetes, Agaricales, Mycenaceae.
UCGGACGUGGUGUACUGGACACGGCCUCCUUCAAUGGACGGUCUUCAUGAAUUGGAUGUUGGAGGCAAUCCCGGGUUCGACUCCCGGCGUCCGAG